RNAcentral lists this long non-coding RNA (956 nucleotides) under Felis catus (domestic cat). RNAcentral describes it as "lncRNA (ENSFCAG00000051198.1)". Lineage: Eukaryota; Metazoa; Chordata; Mammalia; Carnivora; Felidae. The record is from RNAcentral.
AUUUUUUUUUUGCCAAGAUCAAUUAUUUUAAGCCCAACAUGUUUUUAGAACGUAUCACUUACCAUGUAAAUUUAUAUUAUUUGUAUCUUUAGUGGUUGGGAGCUUCUGUGUUUGAAUACACAGUUGUACUGUUUGGAUAUGAUGCAUGGUGUCGCGGUGAGAGAAAAACCCCUGGCAGCAGGUAGAAGAAAGAUACAUACAUUAUGGAAGUAUAAUAGUUGCUUUCAGAAGAAUUGAUCAAUUACAUUUAUCCAGUUCAUGCAUUUCAGAAUUGAAGGGAGAUACAACAUUAAGUGACACUGCUAAAAAACAAAACAAAGCAAAACAAAACAACAACAACCCUCCAAUUAAAUUUAAGUACAUCCUGCCUACAGAGAGGAUAUAUGUCCGGUGUUCUCUCACCCCUGUGAUUGCCCUAGAAUGCUACCCCCUGACCUGUGUGUGGAAACAUUUCCUCAUCUUUUAAGCUUCAGCUAAAUCCUGAAUUCUGCUAUAAAGCCAGGAAGAACUGAUAACUUUCUCCAUCCUUAUAAUCUGCACAUUCUUCAGUUGUAGUUCAGAAUACAUUGAUAUCUGUCUCCUCAUCUGGGCUGUGAACUACAUAAAUACAGGAAUAAUGUUUAUUAAUCUUUGUGUCCCCAUGUCAGACACCUAACAGAAACUAAGUAAACAUACGUUGAAUACAUUAAUACAAAAGUCUUGAAAUAGUGUAUUUCUGUCCUUUUAAGUACCAGUAGUACUAUCUGUAUUUGCCUCUGGUUAAUUUAAAAGAGAUUCUCUAAAAGACUUUCCAGAUGCAAUGAGGAGGCCCUCUUCAAUUGUGAUUAGUUUAACAGUGUCCUAACUAACUCAGUUACUCAAGCCAGGCCACAUCAUUUAUUUAGUGCGUACUAAUGUAGAAUCGUCCUAGACAUGGUAUGAAUAAAAUUAUCAAUUUCUUUAUUUUUUAAAGUUUA